CGCAUCUGUGCAUGCAGCAUAUCAAUAAGCGGAGGAAAAGAAACUAACAAGGAUUCCCUUAGUAACGGCGAGUGAAGCGGGAAGAGCUCAAAUUUGAAAUCUUCAAGGUUUUACCUUGACGAAUUGUAGUUUAAAGAAGUGUUUUCUGUUGAAGUUUUGGUAAAAGUUCUUUGGAAUAGGACAUCAUAGAGGGUGAGAAUCCCGUAUUUGCCCAUUAUUUUCAGCUGUGUGAUACACUUUCAAAGAGUCGGAUUGUUUGGGAAUGCAGUCCAAAAUGGGUGGUAAAUUUCAUCUAAAACUAAAUAUUGGCGAGAGACCGAUAGCGAACAAGUACCGUGAGGGAAAGAUGAAAAGAACUUUGAAAAGAGAGUUAAACAGUACGUGAAAUUGUCAAAAGGGAAGCGUUUGACACCAGUGUUGUUUUCUCGAAAAUCAAUUAAAAAGAGUUUGAUUUUGUUGUGUAUUGACCUUAACAGCUUGCAUUUCAAUUUUCUUGCUUUUUUUAAUGCACUUUUCGUUUAACAAGUCAACAUCAGUUUCUUUUGUUGUAAAAAGGUCAUUGGAAGGUGGCUUUCUUUUCGGAGAAAGUGUUUAUAGCCUUUGACUCCUGCAAUCGGAGAGACUGAGGUCUGCAGCGUAGAUCCUUCGGGGUUAGAUACAUUUGUGCUAAGUUAUAGCUUUUUAUAGACAACUUGUUGACUAUGAUUAGUCUUGUAGCUUACUCGCUUAUGCUAUUUUACCUACGCUUAGGAUGUUGACACACGCGCGUGCUCG
Molecule: ribosomal RNA, 774 nt
Filed under: uncultured Neocallimastigales
Lineage: Eukaryota; Fungi; Neocallimastigomycota; Neocallimastigomycetes; Neocallimastigales
Description: partial large subunit ribosomal RNA
Rfam family: Eukaryotic large subunit ribosomal RNA
Source: RNAcentral